This 241-nucleotide unclassified non-coding RNA is filed under the name uncultured Gammaproteobacteria bacterium. RNAcentral's name for it is "contains 16S-23S intergenic spacer region". Lineage: Bacteria; Pseudomonadati; Pseudomonadota; Gammaproteobacteria. The record is from RNAcentral.
UCCAGCUUAUCGCUGGCGGUCUCCUGCGAGUUCCGCCUUUCGGCAUGUCAAGGGUAGGUAAGGUUUUUCGCGUUGCAUCGAAUUAAUCCACAUCAUCCACCGCUUGUGCGGGCCCCCGUCAAUUCCUUUGAGUUUUAAUCUUGCGACCGUACUCCCCAGGCGGUCAACUUCACGCGUUAGCUUCGUUACCAAAGAAUUGCUUCCCCGACAACUAGUUGACAUAGUUUAGGGCGUGGACUAC